This 420-nucleotide ribosomal RNA is filed under the name bacterium. RNAcentral's name for it is "partial 16S ribosomal RNA". It matches the Rfam family "Bacterial small subunit ribosomal RNA", at positions 355 to 776 of the family's 1533-position model. The record is from RNAcentral.
UGGGGGAUAUUGCACAAUGGGCGAAAGCCUGAUGCAGCGACGCCGCGUGGGGGAUGAAGGCUUUCGGGUUGUAAACCUCUUUCGCUAUCGAACAAGGCCCGCUUAGGGUGGGUUGAGGGUAGGUGGAGAAGAAGCGCCGGCUAACUACGUGCCAGCAGCCGCGGUAAUACGUAGGGCGCGAGCGUUGUCCGGAAUUAUUGGGCGUAAAGGGCUUGUAGGCGGCUUGUUGCGCCUGCUGUGAAAACGCGGGGCUUAACUUCGCGCGUGCAGUGGGUACGGGCAGGCUUGAGUGUGGUAGGGGUGACUGGAAUUCCAGGUGUAGCGGUGGAAUGCGCAGAUAUCUGGAGGAACACCGAGGGCGAAGGCAGGUCACUGGGCCAUUACUGACGCUGAGGAGCGAAAGCAUGGGUAGCGAACAGG